UAGAAAUCACAUAUAACAAAUACAAUUAUUAAAAUAUUUCUAGAUACAUACACAAAUAUUUAUACUAAACAAAAAUAAUUAUGUAAAGAUACCAAACAUUUGUAAUUCAGAACAUAUAAAUAUUCUAGUCAUCUAAAUUAAAAAAUAAUAAUAAAAGGAAAAGGAAAAGGAACGAAAGAAAAUUUAAAAAAAAAAAAAAAAAAAAAAAAAAAAAAAAAAAAAACAAUCAGACAUACAAAUUGAAAUUACUUUUGAUUCAACGUAUUUUUUUAAAUCUAAAUAAAAUAUUCACAUCUUAAAUAAAAAUAAAACUAAACUAAAAACAAUAAAAGGGAUAAAAGCAUUAAAAGGCGAAAAAGAAUGAAAAGUAGAAAAAGAUAUGAAUGAAUUCCUUUCAAAACAAUCCCUACUCUAACACUAUUAUUAAUCCUUCUCAACGAGUAUUAUCCAGCCAUCAGCACUCUUCUUAGAAUAUAAAGAUGAAAAAGGGGAAGGGAGAGGUCAAAACAAGAGACGCGGGGAUCACUGGUUCUAAGAAACGAUUGCCAACUGAAAUUCAAAGUCUGUCGAGUUCUUCUGAGGAGGUACAAAUACGGGGUAUAUCCAAUAUCAGUUCUAGGUUGUUGAGAUUCUGUCCUAAUUUUAUGAUUUUGUAAAGCCAUUGGUUUCGUUUAUUAUUCGCUCUCGUGUGCGUGUGGAUGGUGUUGAGAAAAAAUGUAUUUUUCGAGAAGAAAAGAGGAAGAGAUAAGUCCAUGUGCUCCCAGGUUGAGUGAAAAAGUAUUUAUGACAUGAAGUUUUCUGGUCAAUGAUUAGAAGAUAGAUUUGAAAUUAUCGAAGAUCAAGUGUUGCUUGAUUGGUUGCAUGGUGAUGAUUGAUUAAAGGGGAGUGGUUCUUUUAUUGCCUUUAUGAUAAACAUUAGUGAAUGUUCUUCUGAUUCAAUUGUCAGUAAAAUGUGUCACUAAGUAUAGAAUGUUAAAAAUGUGUAUAGAUGUCUGUACUGUUGGUCAUAAGUCUGUAAACAUGAAUUAUAUCGCAAGGUAAUAUAUAACCUCUUAUCAUGAGUCAAGGACCCUCCAAAUAUAGAUGUUGUGUCAUCAAACUAUGUUAACAAUGUUUGGCAUUUUGAUAGUCAUUUAUACUUAUUGCUCUCUCA
Cucumis melo (muskmelon) is the source of this 1153-nucleotide long non-coding RNA. RefSeq lists it as uncharacterized. The transcript is spliced from 3 exons. Lineage: Eukaryota; Viridiplantae; Streptophyta; Magnoliopsida; Cucurbitales; Cucurbitaceae. The record is from RefSeq and is a predicted model, not a curated record.